RNAcentral lists this transfer RNA (75 nucleotides) under Bacillus cereus. RNAcentral's name for it is "tRNA-Glu". It matches the Rfam family "tRNA". Rfam says of the family: Transfer RNA (tRNA) molecules are approximately 80 nucleotides in length. Their secondary structure includes four short double-helical elements and three loops (D, anti-codon, and T loops). Further hydrogen bonds mediate the characteristic L-shaped molecular structure. tRNAs have two regions of fundamental functional importance: the anti-codon, which is responsible for specific mRNA codon recognition, and the 3' end, to which the tRNAs corresponding amino acid is attached (by aminoacyl-tRNA synthetases). tRNAs cope with the degeneracy of the genetic code in two manners: having more than one tRNA (with a specific anti-codon) for a particular amino acid; and 'wobble' base-pairing, i.e. permitting non-standard base-pairing at the 3rd anti-codon position. RNAcentral also lists the same sequence under 2 other names. The record is from RNAcentral. Lineage: Bacteria; Bacillati; Bacillota; Bacilli; Caryophanales; Bacillaceae.
GGCCCGUUGGUCAAGCGGUUAAGACACCGCCCUUUCACGGCGGUAACACGGGUUCGAAUCCCGUACUGGUCACCA